Molecule: ribosomal RNA, 253 nt
Filed under: uncultured bacterium
Lineage: Bacteria
Description: partial 16S ribosomal RNA
Rfam family: Bacterial small subunit ribosomal RNA
Source: RNAcentral
GACGUAGGGGGCAAGCGUUAUUCGGAAUCAUUGGGCGUAAAGCGCUCGUAGGCGGAUCGGACAGUCGGUGAAGAAAGACCCGGGCUCAACUCGGGGAACGGCACCGAUACUAUCGAUCUUGAGGCAAUCAGAGGGUGAUGGAAUUCCCGGUGUAGCGGUGAAAUGCGUAGAGAUCCGGAGGAAGACCGGUGGCGAAGGCGGUCUGCUGGGCAGUUUCUGACACUGAUGCGCGACAGCGUGAGGAGCAUACAGG